Mus musculus (house mouse) is the source of this 2411-nucleotide long non-coding RNA. RefSeq annotates it as predicted gene, 46038. The record is from RefSeq and is a predicted model, not a curated record. Lineage: Eukaryota; Metazoa; Chordata; Mammalia; Rodentia; Muridae. The transcript has 4 exons.
ACCUUCAGAUGGUGCCACUCCCUGGUCCAAGGAUAUACAAACCAUCACACUCGGGUUGCAGGCAUUGGAGAGGAAUCUGUGAUUGGGCAGGGGAUCUGGAAGUGGAGAAUCCUAGGGAAGAAAGGAGUGGGGGUGGGGUUCCAAAUGAAAGUUACCUCUACCCUCUCCAUCUGUCCCCUUCUAACCUUGAGAGGAAAACCUGUUGAAUUCAUUGUCUUUCCCCUACCAACAGUAUGCCCUGCCUUUUCUCCACCCUCCCAUCCCACCUCCCCUAUCUUCAAUGCUGACUGGAUGUCCCUGUCACCCCAAGCCUCUUUGGGUCGCUUUUAGCAAGCCUGGAGGACUGUUUGACUUGUGUGGAUGAGAACACAAGUCACCCAGGCUGUGUGGUGGGUGAAAUACCAUCUGAUUCAGACGUUCCUUCGUGACUUCCUCCCCAUCUGACUACUGCCUCCAAACAUAGCAUAGUGGGGGUGGAUCCCAGCCUCUCUCCUGUUCCCUGGGAAUGCUGGGAUGGAGGCAUGGCUUUACCUGCAGGUAACACACACAGGGAGGUUGCUUGUUCCUCUUUAAUAAGGAAAAGUGAGCCUGGUUGCGGAGUGGGGAUGUCCUUGAAUGUCUCCAAACUGUGGGGCAUUUGCCCAGGAAGUAAGCAUGCCAAGGAAACAUUUCAAGACCUCAAUGGACAGCGGAACGACACGGGAAAAAGGAAUGAGCCAUAAAGGAGAGAACACAAAGGGCAAAGAAUGAAACAUUCAACACAUAGCAAGAGAAAUCCCAACUAUGACGAAACAAGAUACCGUGGCUGCUCUUUCAGUUGCUGGAGAGUUUAAGAACGACCCCAGAGAAGGACCUUGCCUCUGUGUAUUGAGUUCUGGAGAAUGUAUAUGAAAUGUACAGGUAUAAGAAACAUAAAUACUUAAGACCCUAACAGUAGACUCUCAUGUCUUGAGGAGUGCCAUUAGCUAACGUUGGGAAUACCUAGCUCUCUGGAAACAAAGCCCUACUAUCUUGACAAGAAACUGUGCCUCCUCGAAGCCAGUCCUAGUGUGAGAAAACCUUGCAAAUUCACCAUCUGAUUCUCAGUCAAAGCUUGUUUGUAUGUAUGCAGGCUCUUAAAAUCCAUGUACUCUGGGCCUUUAAAUCUUCUGAGAUAUGCACGCACAUAAUGACUAUUACACAGGAUGACUAUCAGGCAGCAACGAGGUAGCUUAAGGGAGCAAGGCUCAGCCCAGUUCGUGGCAGCACACACCUUUGAUCCCAGCACUUCGGAGGCAGAGGCAGGCAGUUGGAGUUCAGCCUGAUUUACAGAGCAAGUUCCAGGACAGCCGGGGCUACAUAGAGAAAGCCUGUCUUGAAGACACACACACACACACACACACACACACACACACACACACACACACGGGGGGGGGGAGAGAGAGAGAGAGAGAGCACAAAUAAUCACCAAUAUAUAUGGCAUCUGCUCAUGUCCUGUAAGGAGAGUUUGGCACUUCCCCAUUGGGUUAAGGUGCUAUGUGUACAGCUAUGGCCUCCUAGGGUGUACACACAGAAUGGUCUACUUGUGGGGAGGAAAACUCUGUGAGGGCUUUUGCUUUGUAUCUGCUAUCCUUGAUUUUAAAUUGCCACUGUUGAUACCAUUGUGAUAUACUGUUACUGUCUAUUGGGGGAGCAUAGUAAAAAAAAAUGCAUCAUUGGGAGGGAAAUGUUAUUAAAAACCUUGCAGCAUCUGAGCAUGGUGGGGCACACUUGUAAUCUCAACAUUCAAAAGCUAAGGCAGGAAGACUACGAUUUUACAGGCUGGGUCACACAGUAUGUCUUAAGCUAGCCUCGGGUACCAGUGAGACUGUGUCUCAAAAUGAAACAUCAAAAAGUCUGUAGAUGACGGAUCUCCAGAGUCAUGGUAUGGGGAAUAGUUGCCAAGUAAUCUGUAAGAUCUAGGGCUGCUUGGAUUAGACAAAGUGGCUUUGAUCGAGGACAAAAUGUUUGCUUUGACUGUGGACCUCAAGAUAACCUAGACUGGAGUCUGUCUGAGGGCAGUAGUAGUUCCUGGAGCAGGGCAGUGCCUAGCCUGCUGCUGUGGGCACACACACAUAGUAGAGUCAAGGUCAUUCAAACUUGAAGCUGAAGCCCCAGCGCCCACUCCAGCACUAGGAUUUGAAGAAGGAGAUGAACUGACUUCAGAGUUGUACUCAUUUCUAUAUGAGUGUGUCGCAUCAGCAUCUGGAACUGUCUUUACAUUGCACCGGGGGAGGAGUUUAUGUCUGUCUUGGAUACGUGGCACUGAACAAGAGAGUGGACCAGAGAGAAAGAAGACAAAGCGUUAAGGGGACAAAAGGCUCAGUGUGGGGAGAAGUGGACCGAAGCUUCACUGUGGACGCAGAACAAUCGAUCCCAAACGGAGCAGCACA